UACGUAGGGUGCGAGCGUUGUCCGGAAUUAUUGGGCGUAAAGAGCUCGUAGGCGGCUUGUCGCGUCGGAUGUGAAAGCCCGGGGCUUAACUCCGGGUCUGCAUUCGAUACGGGCAGGCUAGAGUGUGGUAGGGGAGACUGGAAUUCCUGGUGUAGCGGUGAAAUGCGCAGAUAUCAGGAGGAACACCGGUGGCGAAGGCGGGUCUCUGGGCCGAUACUGACGCUGAGGAGCGAAAGCGUGGGGAGCGAACAGG
Molecule: ribosomal RNA, 253 nt
Filed under: uncultured bacterium
Lineage: Bacteria
Description: partial 16S ribosomal RNA
Rfam family: Bacterial small subunit ribosomal RNA
Source: RNAcentral